Molecule: ribosomal RNA, 253 nt
Filed under: uncultured bacterium
Lineage: Bacteria
Description: partial 16S ribosomal RNA
Rfam family: Bacterial small subunit ribosomal RNA
Source: RNAcentral
UACGUAGGGUGCAAGCGUUGUCCGGAAUUAUUGGGCGUAAAUAGCUCGUAGGUGGUGUGUCGCGUCUGCCGUGAAAGCCCGGGGCUUAACUCCGGGUCUGCGGUGGAUACGGGCAGACUAGAGGCAGGUAGGGGAGAACGGAAUUCCCGGUGUAGCGGUGAAAUGCGCAGAUAUCAGGAAGAACACCCGUGGCUAAGGCGGCUCUCUGGGACGGUACUGACGCUGAGACGCGAAAGCGUGGGGAGCGAACAGG